AUCGCUUCUCGGCCUUUUGGCCAAGGUCAAGGGCAGUAUCUGUUCUUAUCAGUUUAACACAGGUGAAGAGAAAGCACGUAAUGAAAGGUGAAGGAAGAAACUCUGAAAAGGUCCUUUUCAAGAACUUGGAAACCUACGACUUCUCUUUCAUGUGUGAGGAGAAAUGUAUUGCUUUUACAGUUAAGAGGUAGCUUUCAGUUUUAGUUGAAUUUAA
This 214-nucleotide small nuclear RNA is filed under the name Lynx canadensis (Canada lynx). RNAcentral's name for it is "U2 spliceosomal RNA (ENSLCNG00005000060.1)". It matches the Rfam family "U2 spliceosomal RNA". Rfam says of the family: U2 is a small nuclear RNA (snRNA) component of the spliceosome (involved in pre-mRNA splicing). Lineage: Eukaryota; Metazoa; Chordata; Mammalia; Carnivora; Felidae. The record is from Rfam by way of RNAcentral.